Molecule: ribosomal RNA, 776 nt
Filed under: uncultured Neocallimastigales
Lineage: Eukaryota; Fungi; Neocallimastigomycota; Neocallimastigomycetes; Neocallimastigales
Description: partial large subunit ribosomal RNA
Rfam family: Eukaryotic large subunit ribosomal RNA
Source: RNAcentral
CGCAUCUGUGCAUGCAGCAUAUCAAUAAGCGGAGGAAAAGAAACUAACAAGGAUUCCCCUAGUAACGGCGAGUGAAGCGGGAAGAGCUCAAAUUUGAAAUCUUAAAGGGUUUCCCUUUACGAAUUAGUAGUUUAAAGAAGUGUUUUCUGUUGAGGUUUUGGUAAAAGUUCUUUGGAAUAGGACAUCAUAGAGGGUGAGAAUCCCGUAUUUGACCUUUACUUUCAACUUUGUGAUACACUUUCAAAGAGUCGGAUCGUUUGGGAAUGCAGUCCAAAAUGGGUGGUAAAUUUCAUCUAAAGCUAAAUAUUGGCGAGAGACCGAUAGCGAACAAGUACCGUGAGGGAAAGAUGAAAAGAACUUUGAAAAGAGAGUUAAACAGUACGUGAAAUUGUCAAAAGGGAAGCGUUUGACACCAGUGUUGUUUUUCUGAAAAUCAAUUAAAGAACUGUUUAUGCUAAGCUGUUUAGACUUUAUCAGCUAACUGUUUAGUUUUGAGCUUUUCUUUAAUGCACUUUUCAGUUAACAAGUCAACAUCAAUUUCUUUUGCUGUAAAAAAGCUUGAGGAAGGUGGCUUGAGAUUCGUCUUAAGUGUUUAUAGCCUCUUGCCUAUGCAGUCGGAGAGAUUGAGGUCUGCAGCGUAGAUCCUUCGGGGCUAAAUGCAUUUGUGCUAAGUUAUAGCAUUUUAUAGACAACUUGUUGACUUAUGAUUUGUCUUGUAGCUUACUCGCUUAUGUUAUUUUACCUACGCUUAGGAUGUUGAAUCUGUGCGAGACUAC